UCCGUGAUAGCUCAGUGGUAGAGCAUCGAACCCGGUAUUCGGAGGUCGCAGGUUCGAUUCCGGCUCACGGCA
Rhipicephalus microplus (southern cattle tick) is the source of this 72-nucleotide non-coding RNA. The record is from the annotation of a RefSeq genome assembly. Lineage: Eukaryota; Metazoa; Arthropoda; Arachnida; Ixodida; Ixodidae.